RNAcentral lists this long non-coding RNA (378 nucleotides) under Trifolium pratense (red clover). RNAcentral's name for it is "long non-coding RNA (TPRA_LNC008878)". The record is from RNAcentral. Lineage: Eukaryota; Viridiplantae; Streptophyta; Magnoliopsida; Fabales; Fabaceae.
CACUCAUACCCGCUCAUUUUUAUGGGUAAUUACUCAUACCAAUGCAUGUAUCCAAAUGUGGGUUUUACUCUACUUGUUGCGGGUAUUUUUUCCGGGUGCCCACUGUGGAUGGGUCAAAUUUUCAUCCUUAUUGACUAAUCAUAUUUAAGAGACACGUAGUAAAGAAAAUACACAAUAUUUUUUAAUAAUUAUUGACUAUAAUUUGUUUUGAAACUAUAAUAAAGAAAAUACACAAUUUCUUAUUAAAAAAAUACACAAUUUUUGUUUUUUGAUGUAGAGCUGUUAAAAUGGACUAACUUGUUUGGCUGUCUUGUCAAACCCGAAUAUAUAUAGAGUUUGAACCUUAAAAUAUUAGCCCGAUUCUUUUUUAUGGCUUUU